Long non-coding RNA from Mastomys coucha (southern multimammate mouse), 696 nucleotides. RefSeq lists it as uncharacterized. The record is from RefSeq and is a predicted model, not a curated record. Lineage: Eukaryota; Metazoa; Chordata; Mammalia; Rodentia; Muridae. The transcript has 2 exons.
CUGCCACCGCCCGGGACGCCGAGCGGCGCUGGAGCCGUCGGUCUUCGGUCCGGCGCGGCGGCUGAGGCCAGCGCGCCCCGCGUCGUGGGGCGGCCGUGCCAAGGCCGGCCUCUUGCCCUGGGCGUCCCGGGGCGUCCCGCACCUCUGCACCUCCGGGGUGGGUCCGUGCGCUCCGGUCUCCGAGCCCCGUUGGGCUGCGGCCGCGGCCCCCAGCUGAGGAAGAAGAAAACUGGGCUUGUCCCAAGAGCUCAGUCGGCUCUUCCUUGUGGUUGUGGCUCUCGGCCCCUCAGGUCUGGUGACUUUUGGAAUGAAGCCCACUGAGGGAGGACACCUCUACAGAAGCUUAACCAUGCUGAAAUCACUCAGGGACUCUGGAAAAAGGCAGGAUAUCUAUACUGUGGAGUGCUGUGUGGCCCGCAUGAAGCAGAGUGGAUGAACCUCAGGAGCAUGGUGAAUCACACACCUUGUGACUGACUCGCAGUUCAAAAUGUCCAGAAUGAGAAAACCCAGAGAGAUAGGUUGGGAGGGGGAGGGACGAAGGGACAAAGGACCCUUAUGGAGGGACCUGUGACACAGACAUUCUGUAGUGAGCCAUGGUGCAGGCUACACAAAGUAGAGCUUUAACUGUCACCAUUCACUUUCCCAGAUGAGUGUUACAGUGUGUGUGACUCUAAUAAACUUGUUACUUAGAAACCA